CCUACGGGAGGCAGCAGUGGGGAAUAUUGGACAAUGGGGGCAACCCUGAUCCAGCCAUGCCGCGUGAGUGAAGAAGGCCUUCGGGUUGUAAAGCUCUUUCAGAUGCGAAGAUGAUGACGGUAACAUCAGAAGAAGCCCCGGCUAAUUUCGUGCCAGCAGCCGCGGUAAUACGAAAGGGGCAAGCGUUGUUCGGAUUUACUGGGCGUAAAGGGCACGCAGGCGGUCUUGCCAGUCAGGGGUGAAAGCCCGGGGCUCAACCCCGGAACUGCCUCUGAUACUGCAAGACUAGAGACUAGGAGAGGGUGGUGGAAUUCCCAGUGUAGAGGUGAAAUUCGUAGAUAUUGGGAGGAACACCAGAGGCGAAGGCGGCCACCUGGACUAGAUCUGACGCUCAGGUGCGAAAGCGUGGGGAGCAAACAGGAUUAGAUACCCUGGUAGUCCACGCCGUAAACGAUGAGUGCUAGUUGUCGGGACUUCGGUUUCGGUGACGCAGCUAACGCAUUAAGCACUCCGCCUGGGGAGUACGGUCGCAAGAUUAAAACUCAAAGGAAUUGACG
Molecule: ribosomal RNA, 557 nt
Filed under: uncultured bacterium
Lineage: Bacteria
Description: bacterial SSU rRNA
Rfam family: Bacterial small subunit ribosomal RNA
Source: RNAcentral